Molecule: long non-coding RNA, 379 nt
Organism: Argiope bruennichi
Lineage: Eukaryota; Metazoa; Arthropoda; Arachnida; Araneae; Araneidae
Exons: 3
Source: RefSeq, a predicted model, not a curated record
UUUUUUAAAAAUGAAAGUCUAUUUUGUAUUCCUGUUGCUGGUAGCGGCGGUUGCAGGCCAAAAUGAAGACUGUCCAGAAAACAAAACCUACGGAUCUUUCGGUGACUGCCCCGAUUCUUGUUAUUCCCUCAACCACCCACGUCAGAUGUGCACAAUGAAGAUCAACGAAGGCUGUCGUUGUAUGGAAGACUACGUCCUGUUGAGAAAUAAGGAGUUUACUUCAGACUGCGUUAAACCAGAAGACUGCCCGGCUGAAUCUUAAGGAAGUGGUGAUCUAUGUCUUUCUGGAGACAAGAUUAUUUAGGAUGUCAGCAGCUUGCAGUUUUUAGAACUCUGUGGUGACUAGUCCCUGUGUUUAUAAAUAAAUUUUUGCAAUUAU